GGCCAAGCAAAAAAGAGCACAGGGCGGAUGCCUUGGCACCAAGAGCCGAUGAAAGACGUGAUAAGCUGCGAUAAGCUUCGGGGAGGAGCAAAUAUCCAUUGAUCCGGAGAUCUCUG
Ribosomal RNA from Blautia sp. An46, 116 nucleotides. It matches the Rfam family "Bacterial large subunit ribosomal RNA", at positions 1 to 116 of the family's 2925-position model. NCBI's taxonomy places the organism in Bacteria, Bacillati, Bacillota, Clostridia, Lachnospirales, Lachnospiraceae. The record is from Rfam.